This 348-nucleotide ribosomal RNA is filed under the name uncultured soil bacterium. Its description in RNAcentral is "bacterial SSU rRNA". It matches the Rfam family "Bacterial small subunit ribosomal RNA", at positions 275 to 640 of the family's 1533-position model. The record is from RNAcentral.
GACGAUCCGUAGCUGGUCUGAGAGGAUGAUCAGCCACACUGGGACUGAGACACGGCCCAGACUCCUACGGGAGGCAGCAGUGGGGAAUACUGGACAAUGGGCGAAAGCCUGAUCCAGCCAUGCCGCGUGAGUGAAGAAGGCCUUAGGGUUGUAAAGCUCUUUCAGCGGGGAAGAUAAUGACGGUACCCGCAGAAGAAGCCCCGGCUAACUUCGUGCCAGCAGCCGCGGUAAUACGAAGGGGGCUAGCGUUGUUCGGAUUUACUGGGCGUAAAGCGCGCGUAGGCGGGUCACUAAGUCAGGGGUGAAAUCCCGAGGCUUAACCUCGGAACUGCCUUUGAUACUGGUGAC